AACGAACGCUGGCGGCAUGCCUAACACAUGCAAGUCGAACGAGACCUUCGGGUCUAGUGGCGCACGGGUGCGUAACGCGUGGGAACCUGCCCUUAGGUUCGGAAUAACUCCCCGAAAGGGGUGCUAAUACCGGAUAAUGUCUUCGGACCAAAGAUUUAUCGCCUUUGGAUGGGCCCGCGUUGGAUUAGCUAGUUGGUAGGGUAAAAGCCUACCAAGGCGACGAUCCAUAGCUGGUCUGAGAGGAUGAUCAGCCACACUGGGACUGAGACACGGCCCAGACUCCUACGGGAGGCAGCAGUGGGGAAUAUUGGACAUUGGGCGAAAGCCUGAUCCAGCAAUGCCGCGUGAGUGAUGAAGGCCUUAGGGUUGUAAAGCUCUUUUACCCGGGAUGAUAAUGACAGUACCGGGAGAAUAAGCUCCGGCUAACUCCGU
This 432-nucleotide ribosomal RNA is filed under the name uncultured bacterium. RNAcentral's name for it is "partial 16S ribosomal RNA". It matches the Rfam family "Bacterial small subunit ribosomal RNA", at positions 29 to 506 of the family's 1533-position model. The record is from RNAcentral.